This 643-nucleotide ribosomal RNA is filed under the name uncultured Actinomycetes bacterium. RNAcentral's name for it is "bacterial SSU rRNA". It matches the Rfam family "Bacterial small subunit ribosomal RNA", at positions 52 to 712 of the family's 1533-position model. The record is from RNAcentral. Lineage: Bacteria; Bacillati; Actinomycetota; Actinomycetes.
CACAUGCAAGUCGAGCGAUGAAGCACCUUCGGGUGUGAUUAGCGGCGAACGGGUGAGGAACACGUGAGAAAUCUGCCUUCAACACUGGGAUAACUCCGGGAAACCGGGGCUAAUACCGGAUAUGAAAUCUGCGGGCAUCCGCGGAUUUGGAAAGUUUUUCGGUUGAAGAUGAUCUCGCGGNCUAUCAGCUUGUUGGUGAGGUAAUGGCUCACCAAGGCGACGACGGGUAGCCGGCCUGAGAGGGCGACCGGCCACACUGGGACUGAGACACGGCCCAGACUCAUACGGGAGGCAGCAGUGGGGAAUAUUGGGCAAUGGAGGAAACUCUGACCCAGCGACGCCGCGUGCGGGAUGAAGGCCUUCGGGUUGUAAACCGCUUUCAGCAGGGAAGAAGCGAAAGUGACGGUACCUGCAGAAGAAGCACCGGCUAACUAUGUGCCAGCAGCCGCGGUAAUACAUAGGGUGCAAGCGUUGUCCGGAAUUAUUGGGCGUAAAGAGCUCGUAGGUGGUUCGUCACGUCGGAUGUGAAACUCUGGGGCUUAACCCCAGACCUGCAUUCGAUACGGGCGAGCUUGAGUAUGGUAGGGGAGUCUGGAAUUCCUGGUGUAGCGGUGGAAUGCGCAGAUAUCAGGAGGAACACCAA